This 439-nucleotide ribosomal RNA is filed under the name uncultured bacterium. Its description in RNAcentral is "partial 16S ribosomal RNA". It matches the Rfam family "Bacterial small subunit ribosomal RNA", at positions 338 to 795 of the family's 1533-position model. The record is from RNAcentral.
CCUACGGGGGGCAGCAGUGGGGAAUAUUGCACAAUGGGCGAAAGCCUGAUGCAGCAACGCCGCGUGAGCGAUGAAGGAUUUCGGUUCGUAAAGCUCUGUCCGCAAGGAAGAUAAUGACGGUACCUGAGUAGGAAGCCCCGGCUAACUACGUGCCAGCAGCCGCGGUAAUACGUAGGGGGCAAGCGUUAUCCGGAAUUACUGGGCGUAAAGGGAGCGUAGGUGGCGUCUUAAGUCAGAGGUGAAAGGCUAGGGCUAAACCGGGGUACGCCUUUGAAAAUGGGGAACUUGAGUGCAGGAGAGGUGAGUGGAAUUCCUAGUGUAGCGGUGAAAUGCGUAGAUAUUAGGAGGAACACCAGUUGCGAAGGCGGCUUACUGGACUGUAACUGACGCUGAGGCACGAAAGCGUGGGGAGCAAACAGGAUUAGAUACCCCAGUAGUC